RNAcentral lists this ribosomal RNA (250 nucleotides) under uncultured prokaryote. RNAcentral's name for it is "partial 16S ribosomal RNA". It matches the Rfam family "Bacterial small subunit ribosomal RNA", at positions 524 to 773 of the family's 1533-position model. The record is from RNAcentral.
UACGGAGGAUGCAAGCGUUAUCCGGAUUUAUUGGGUUUAAAGGGUGCGCAGGCGGACCCGUAAGUCAUGGGUGAAAACUCGCUGCUUAACAGCGAGCGUGCCUAUGAUACUGCGGGACUAGUGUGCAAGCGGCGUGACCGGAAUGUGGCGUGUAGCGGUGAAAUGCUUAGAUAUGCCACAGAACGCCGAUCGUGAAGACAGGUCACGAGCUUGCUACAGACGCUCAUGCACGAAAGCGUGGGUAUCAAAC